CAGGUCGGUCAGACGAUCGCUCUCUGCUUUGAGCAGGGGGAGGAAAGUCCGGGCUCCACAGGGCACGGUGCUGGAUAACGUCCAGGCGGGGUAACCCGACGGAAGAGGGCCACAGAGAAGGAGACAGCCGGGGCGGUGCGAGCCGCCCCGGUGAUGGUGAAAAGGUGGUGUAAGAGACCACCGGCGUCUGUGGUGACACAGGCGGCCAGGCAACCCCCACCGGGAGCAAGGUCAAGCAGAAGCGAGGGGCGGCCCGUCCCGUUCGAGCUUCGGGUAGACCGCGUGAGGCGAUGGGUAACCAUCGUCCCAGAUAGAUGAUCGUCCACGACAGAACCCGGCUUAU
This 343-nucleotide RNase P RNA is filed under the name Anaerolineae bacterium. RNAcentral describes it as "partial RNase P RNA component class A". It matches the Rfam family "Bacterial RNase P class A". From Rfam's summary of the family: Ribonuclease P (RNase P) is a ubiquitous endoribonuclease, found in archaea, bacteria and eukarya as well as chloroplasts and mitochondria. Its best characterised activity is the generation of mature 5'-ends of tRNAs by cleaving the 5'-leader elements of precursor-tRNAs. Cellular RNase Ps are ribonucleoproteins. The record is from RNAcentral. Lineage: Bacteria; Bacillati; Chloroflexota; Anaerolineae.